GAGAUUAAUCGGAGAGCAUCCAAAGCAGUGUACCUUCUUGAACAGUUAGGGCAUAUAUACUCCUGAACUGUGUUCUUGUCCUCCAGUUCAUCUUUCAGUUUCUUCUUCAUGCGGUGCAUUCUGUAUCUAACCACAUCAUAGAUCUGUGCAUAGUCUAGCGAACAAUAAGAGUGUGUGUGCAUCUUAAUCUUUUCAUCCCCGUCCUUCGCUGGGUGUUGACCAUCGGCUGUGGCAGCAACCGCAGCACUAAAUAUCUUUGCUCCCUUAGCUGUCUCCCUUCUAUGAUCUCGGGUAAUCAGUUUUUCCUCCUCUAAAAACCUUAGGGUUCGACGCAAUUGCUUUGAAUGUAGUUUUAAGUUCUUUGCCAAAUCUUCUUCCCGAACCCAUUGUCGUCUCGUAAGAGCAUCAAGGACAACAACCGCGAUUCCCCUAUUAUCACUCCUACCGGUCUUAGGUUGAUUAUCCCCUUUAGUCGUAAUGUCAUCGUAGAAAGCUCUCGCAGCUAGCUUCACCAACCUGUUAAAGGGUUCGAUACUCAUGGUGGUGAUGAAUUAACUUGGGGUUCAAUUCCUCAAUCAAAUUCUUAGAACUGGUCUUUGCUAAUACAUGUGAGCUGAAUUUUUUUCGGUAUUCGAUUCAACCAAGAC
RNAcentral lists this unclassified non-coding RNA (647 nucleotides) under Hevea brasiliensis (rubber tree). The record is from RNAcentral. Lineage: Eukaryota; Viridiplantae; Streptophyta; Magnoliopsida; Malpighiales; Euphorbiaceae.